This 253-nucleotide ribosomal RNA is filed under the name uncultured bacterium. Its description in RNAcentral is "partial 16S ribosomal RNA". It matches the Rfam family "Bacterial small subunit ribosomal RNA", at positions 524 to 776 of the family's 1533-position model. The record is from RNAcentral.
UACGAAGGGGGCUAGCGUUGCUCGGAAUCACUGGGCGUAAAGCGCACGUAGGCGGCUUACUAAGUCAGGGGUGAAAUCCUGGAGCUCAACUCCAGAACUGCCUUUGAUACUGGUGAGCUUGAGUCCGGAAGAGGUGAGUGGAACUGCGAGUGUAGAGGUGAAAUUCGUAGAUAUUCGCAAGAACACCAGUGGCGAAGGCGGCUAACUGGUCCGGUUCUGACGCUGAGGCGCGAAAGCGUGGGGAGCAAACCGG